Molecule: ribosomal RNA, 894 nt
Filed under: uncultured Gallionella sp.
Lineage: Bacteria; Pseudomonadati; Pseudomonadota; Betaproteobacteria; Nitrosomonadales; Gallionellaceae
Description: bacterial SSU rRNA
Rfam family: Bacterial small subunit ribosomal RNA
Source: RNAcentral
AUAUCGGAACAUGUCCGGAAGUGGGGGAUAACGUACCGAAAGGUACGCUAAUACCGCAUAUGCCCUGAGGGGGAAAGGGGGGGAUCGCAAGACCUCUCGCUUUCGGAGUGGCCGAUAUCGGAUUAGCUAGUUGGUGAGGUAAAGGCUCACCAAGGCGACGAUCCGUAGCUGGUCUGAGAGGACGACCAGCCACACUGGAACUGAGACACGGUCCAGACUCCUACGGGAGGCAGCAGUGGGGAAUUUUGGACAAUGGGGGCAACCCUGAUCCGGCCAUACCGCGUGAGUGAAGAAGGCCUUCGGGUUGUAAAGCUCUUUCAGCCGGAAAGAAAUCGUGCUUAUUAAUACUAAGUAUGGAUGACGGUACCGGAAGAAGAAGCACCGGCUAACUACGUGCCAGCAGCCGCGGUAAUACGUAGGGUGCGAGCGUUAAUCGGAAUUACUGGGCGUAAAGCGUGCGCAGGCGGUUUGGUAAGACAGAUGUGAAAUCCCCGGGCUUAACCUGGGAACUGCAUUUGUGACUGCCAGACUAGAGUGUAGCAGAGGGGGGUAGAAUUCCACGUGUAGCAGUGAAAUGCGUAGAUAUGUGGAGGAAUACCGAUGGCGAAGGCAGCCCCCUGGGCUAACACUGACGCUCAUGCACGAAAGCGUGGGGAGCAAACAGGAUUAGAUACCCUGGUAGUCCACGCCCUAAACGAUGUCAACUAGGUGUUGGGAAGGAGACUUCUUUAGUACCGCAGUUAACGCGUGAAGUUGACCGCCUGGGGAGUACGGUCGCAAGAUUAAAACUCAAAGGAAUUGACGGGGACCCGCACAAGCGGUGGAUUAUGUGGAUUAAUUCGAUGCAACGCGAAAAACCUUACCUACCCUUGACAUGUCAGGAAGUUUCCAGAG